GAGUGAAGCGGGAAAAGCUCAAAUUUAAAAUCUGGCUGCCUUUGGCCGUCCGAGUUGUAAUUUAGAGAAGCGUCUUCCGCGCUGGACCAUGCACAAGUCUCCUGGAAUGGAGCGUCAUAGAGGGUGAGAAUCCCGUCUUUGGCAUGGAUGCCCGGUGCUUCUGUGAUGCGCUCUCGAAGAGUCGAGUUGUUUGGGAAUGCAGCUCAAAAUGGGUGGUGAACUCCAUCUAAAGCUAAAUAUUGGCGAGAGACCGAUAGCGAACAAGUACCGUGAGGGAAAGAUGAAAAGCACUUUGGAAAGAGAGUGAAACAGUACGUGAAAUUGUUGAAAGGGAAACGCUUGAAGUCAGUCGCGUCGACCGAGACUCAGCCUUGCCUUGGCUUGGUGUACUUCUCGGCCAGACGGGUCAGCAUCAAUUUCGCCCCUUGGAUAAUGGCAGGGGAAAGGUGGCACCUUUACGGGUGUGUUAUAGUCUCUUGUCGCAUGCGGGGGGUGGGAUUGAGGAACUCAGCGUGCACCUCGGUGUCGGGGCUUCGGCCCACGUCACACGCUUAGGAUGCUGGCGUAAUGGCUUUAAACGACCCG
RNAcentral lists this ribosomal RNA (585 nucleotides) under Lactarius sp. 1 KA-2019. Its description in RNAcentral is "partial large subunit ribosomal RNA". It matches the Rfam family "Eukaryotic large subunit ribosomal RNA", at positions 91 to 651 of the family's 3401-position model. Lineage: Eukaryota; Fungi; Basidiomycota; Agaricomycetes; Russulales; Russulaceae. The record is from RNAcentral.